UUGACUGUGAUUCGUGGAAAUGCGAUUCUCGAUCUUGCUACAAAUCUGAGGAAGGCUUCCACGGCUUGUUCGUUGGGGGCCUUUUUCUUUUGCGGGUUAGUCUCCUUGUUUCGAACUCUGCUUUUGCAUGAACUGGUCGUGCAGGCUUUCGAUCUGACCUGCAAUGAAAUCGACAAAGCCUGA
This 183-nucleotide unclassified non-coding RNA is filed under the name Sinorhizobium meliloti 1021. RNAcentral's name for it is "incA". The stretch from base 49 to 93 matches the Rfam family "ctRNA". Lineage: Bacteria; Pseudomonadati; Pseudomonadota; Alphaproteobacteria; Hyphomicrobiales; Rhizobiaceae. The record is from RNAcentral.